UACGUAGGGUGCAAGCGUUAAUCGGAAUUACUGGGCGUAAAGCGUGCGCAGGCGGUUAUGCAGGACAGAUGUGAAAUCCCCGGGCUUAACCUGGGAACUGCAUUUGUGACUGCAUAGCUAGAGUACGGUAGAGGGGGAUGGAAUUCCGCGUGUAGCAGUGAAAUGCGUAGAUAUGCGGAGGAACACCGAUGGCGAAGGCAGUCCCCUGGACCUGUACUGACGCUCAUGCACGAAAGCGUGGGGAGCAAACAGG
Molecule: ribosomal RNA, 253 nt
Filed under: uncultured bacterium
Lineage: Bacteria
Description: partial 16S ribosomal RNA
Rfam family: Bacterial small subunit ribosomal RNA
Source: RNAcentral